This 584-nucleotide ribosomal RNA is filed under the name uncultured bacterium. RNAcentral describes it as "partial 16S ribosomal RNA". It matches the Rfam family "Bacterial small subunit ribosomal RNA", at positions 355 to 932 of the family's 1533-position model. The record is from RNAcentral.
UGGGGAAUUUUGGACAAUGGGCGAAAGCCUGAUCCAGCAAUGCCGCGUGUGUGAAGAAGGCCUUCGGGUUGUAAAGCACUUUUGUCCGGAAAGAAAUCCUUGGCUCUAAUACAGUCGGGGGGAUGACGGUACCGGAAGAAUAAGCACCGGCUAACUACGUGCCAGCAGCCGCGGUAAUACGUGGGGUGCAAGCGUUAAUCGGAAUUACUGGGCGUAAAGCGUGCGCAGGCGGUUUGCUAAGACCGAUGUGAAAUCCCCGGGCUCAACCUGGGAACUGCAUUGGUGACUGGCAGGCUAGAGUAUGGCAGAGGGGGGUAGAAUUCCACGUGUAGCAGUGAAAUGCGUAGAGAUGUGGAGGAAUACCGAUGGCGAAGGCAGCCCCCUGGGCCAAUACUGACGCUCAUGCACGAAAGCGUGGGGGAGCAAAACAGGAUUAGAUACCCCUGGUAGUCCACGCCCUAAACGAUGUCAACUAGUUGUUGGGGGAUUCAUUUCCUUAGUAACGUAGCUAACGCGUGAAGUUGACCGCCUGGGGAGUACGGUCGCAAGAUUAAAACUCAAAGGAAUUGACGGGGUCAUAGCUG